UACGGAAGGCAGCAGUGGGGAAUAUUGCACAAUGGGCGCAAGCCUGAUGCAGCCAUGCCGCGUGUAUGAAGAAGGCCCUUCGGGUUGUAAAGUACUUUCAGUCGUGAGGAAGGUGUUAAGGUUAAUAACCUUAGCAAUUGACGUUAGCGACAGAAGAAGCACCGGCUAACUCCGUGCCAGCAGCCGCGGUAAUACGGAGGGUGCGAGCGUUAAUCGGAAUUACUGGGCGUAAAGGGCACGCAGGCGGUUAAUUAAGUUGGAUGUGAAAUCCCCGGGCUUAACCUGGGAAUGGCAUUCAAGACUGGUUAGCUAGAGUCUUGUAGAGGGGGUAGAAUUCCAUGUGUAGCGGUGAAAUGCGUAGAGAUGUGGAGGAAUACCGGUGGCGAAGGCGGCCCCUGGACAAAGACUGACGCUCAUGUGCGAAAGCGUGGGGAGCAAAC
Molecule: ribosomal RNA, 440 nt
Filed under: uncultured bacterium
Lineage: Bacteria
Description: bacterial SSU rRNA
Rfam family: Bacterial small subunit ribosomal RNA
Source: RNAcentral